UACGUAGGGUGCGAGCGUUGUCCGGAAUUAUUGGGCGUAAAGAGCUCGUAGGCGGUGUGUCACGUCGGCCGUGAAAACCUGCAGCUUAACUGUGGGCGUGCGGUCGAUACGGGCAUCACUGGAGUUCGGCAGGGGAGACUGUAAUUCCUGGUGUAGCGGUGAAAUGCGCAGAUAUCAGGAGGAACACCGGUGGCGAAGGCGGGUCUCUGGGCCGAUACUGACGCUGAGGAGCGAAAGCGUGGGGAGCAAACAGG
RNAcentral lists this ribosomal RNA (254 nucleotides) under uncultured bacterium. RNAcentral describes it as "partial 16S ribosomal RNA". It matches the Rfam family "Bacterial small subunit ribosomal RNA", at positions 524 to 776 of the family's 1533-position model. The record is from RNAcentral.